Molecule: ribosomal RNA, 479 nt
Filed under: uncultured bacterium
Lineage: Bacteria
Description: partial 16S ribosomal RNA
Rfam family: Bacterial small subunit ribosomal RNA
Source: RNAcentral
GAUGAACGCUAGCGGGAGGCCUAACACAUGCAAGCCGAGCGGUAGAGUUUCUUCGGAAACUUGAGAGCGGCGCACGGGUGCGUAACACGUGUGCAACCUACCUUUAUCUGGGGGAUAGCCUUUCGAAAGGAAGAUUAAUACCCCAUAAUAUAAUGAUUGGCAUCAAUUAUUAUUGAAAACUCCGGUGGAUAGAGAUGGGCACGCGCAAGAUUAGAUAGUUGGUGAGGUAACGGCUCACCAAGUCAAUGAUCUUUAGGGGUCCUGAGAGGGAGAUCCCCCACACUGGUACUGAGACACGGACCAGACUCCUACGGGAGGCAGCAGUGAGGAAUAUUGGACAAUGGGUGAGAGCCUGAUCCAGCCACCCCGCGUGAAGGAUGACGGUCCUAUGGAUUGUAAACUUCUUUUGUACAGGGAUAAACCUACCCUCGUGAGGGUAGCUGAAGGUACUGUACGAAUAAGCACCGGCUAACUCCGUG